Molecule: ribosomal RNA, 556 nt
Filed under: uncultured Actinomycetes bacterium
Lineage: Bacteria; Bacillati; Actinomycetota; Actinomycetes
Description: bacterial SSU rRNA
Rfam family: Bacterial small subunit ribosomal RNA
Source: RNAcentral
AGGCAGCAGUGGGGAAUCUUGCACAAUGGGCGCAAGCCUGAUGCAGCAACGCCGCGUGCGGGAAGAAGGCCUUAGGGUUGUAAACCGCUUUCAGUAGGGAAGAAAAUGACGGUACCUACAGAAGAAGGUGCGGCCAACUACGUGCCAGCAGCCGCGGUAACACGUAGGCACCAAGCGUUAUCCGGAUUUAUUGGGCGUAAAGAGCUCGUAGGCGGUUCAGUCAGUCGGGUGUGAAAACUUGAGGCUUAACCUCAAGAGGUCACUCGAUACUACUGUGACUAGAGUGCGGUAGGGGAGCGGGGAAUUCCUGGUGUAGCGGUGAAAUGCGCAGAUAUCAGGAGGAACACCAGUGGCGAAGGCGCCGCUCUGGGCCGUAACUGACGCUGAGGAGCGAAAGCAUGGGUAGCAAACAGGAUUAGAUACCCUGGUAGUCCAUGCCGUAAACGUUGGGCACUAGGUGUGGGUCUCAACCAACGAGAUCCGCGCCGUCGCUAACGCAUUAAGUGCCCCGCCUGGGGAGUACGGUCGCAAGACUAAAACUCAAAGGAAUUGACGG